This is a long non-coding RNA of Lathyrus oleraceus (garden pea), 523 nucleotides long. RefSeq lists it as uncharacterized. The record is from RefSeq and is a predicted model, not a curated record. The transcript has 3 exons. Lineage: Eukaryota; Viridiplantae; Streptophyta; Magnoliopsida; Fabales; Fabaceae.
UAAUAAGUUAUAGCAAGUGAUUUUUAAGGAGUAAAAAUUUGUGUGUGAUUAUUAAGCUCUGAAUUGGGAGUGGAAGAGUCUGUGUAUGUUGGGGUUCUUUCUCUCCUUCCUUCCUAUGGAUCUUCAUGUCGUCUCUCUUAAUUCUGGGAUGAAGAAUCGAAAACAAGACGAACAACAUGCCAUGAGACCCCACAUGAAAGGUGAAGAUCUUGGUUUCCUUUAUGUUAUGACUGGUCAAAGAUUUCUUGUGAUAUUUCAACCUGUUGAAACUACCCAAAUACUCAAGAGUAGUACUGCUGAAGUAAGUGGAAGGUAGCUCUUGGAUUACUUCUUUAUUUUGUCUCUUUUACUAGUGGUGCCUUGCUCUGAUCAUGUAAUAUUGGGUUGUGUUAAACGCUUAUUUUAUUCCUUAUGUGUGAUUAUGUUGAAGUCAUAAGACUAAUUUUGUUGUUGAGAAUUCUUAAGAUGUUGAGUUGAUUGAUUACAACUCUCUUAUUUUAUUAUUAAAUUGAAGUUGAGACUA